UCCGAGUUGACCCCGGCAGUCUUCUACGAGUCCCCGGCAUAAUCCGCUGGCAACAUAGAAUAAGGGUUGCGCUCGUUGCGGGACUUAACCCAACAUCUCACGACACGAGCUGACGACAGCCAUGCACUACCUGUGUGAGGCCCCGAAGGACACCGUAUCUCUACGGCUUUUCCCCACACGUCAAGCCCAGGUAAGGUUCUUCGCGUUGCCUCGAAUUAAACCACAUGUUCCACCGCUUGUGCGGGUCCCCGACAAUUUCUUUGAGUUUUAAUCUUGCGACCGUACUCCCCAGGCGGGGUGCUUAAUGCGUUAGCUGCGGCACGGAGAACGUGGAAGGUUCCCCACACCUAGCGCCCAACGUUUACGGCGUGGACUAC
Molecule: unclassified non-coding RNA, 377 nt
Filed under: uncultured bacterium
Lineage: Bacteria
Description: contains 16S-23S intergenic spacer region
Source: RNAcentral